UCCCUGGUGGUCUAGCAGCUAAGGAUCCUGUGCUCUCACUGCUGCAGCCAGGUUCGAUUCCCGGGCAGGGAA
Non-coding RNA from Ameiurus melas (black bullhead), 72 nucleotides. The record is from the annotation of a GenBank genome assembly. NCBI's taxonomy places the organism in Eukaryota, Metazoa, Chordata, Actinopteri, Siluriformes, Ictaluridae.